AUGCACGUGUCAAGCGUCGCAAAACCUUUGUCUUCUAAACCAAAUCCAUUCGAUUCUGACUCAGACUCUGAAUUUACCUCGAGGCCUGCAAGAGCAUCAUCUUCCAAUUCAGUUGAUCCUGGUGCCAAUGGCCGAUACAAGAAUGAGUUCCACGAUUCAGGCGGGUUCGAUAACCAAUCCGUGCAAGAGCUGGAGGUCUACGUUGCAUACAAGGCCGAGGAGACCACUCAAAAAGUGAACGUCUGCCUUCGGCUCGCUGAAAACAUCAAGGAGGAUGCUACCAACACUAUGAUCGCCUUGCACAAGCAGGGUCAACAGAUGAAUAGGACCCAUGAAACUGCUGCAAACAUUGACCAGGACCUUAGCAGGAGUGAGACACUUCUGGGAAGCCUUGGAGGGUUCUUCGCAAAAACCUGGAAGCCCAAGAAAACCAGGCAAAUAAAGGGAUCAUCAGUUAUCUCGAGAGAUGAUUCCUUCAAAAGAAGGGCUAACCACCUAGAGCAGAGAGAAAAAUUAGGAUUGUCUUCAAGCCCCAGAGGGAAGUCAGAUCCUCAAAAGUAUUCUGAUCCUACCAACGCCAUGGAGAAGGUUCAGGUGGAGAAAGAUAAUCAAGACAAUGCCCUUUCUGAUCUUAGCGAUGUCCUGGGACAGCUCAAGGGCAUGGCUCUCGAUAUGGGCUCAGAAAUCGACAUGUGGGAGAAAGGAGGAAUGGGGACACAACCAGAACAUACUAGAUCCAGGACACUUGAGGGCAGCCUGUCCACAGCUGAUAGGAGGAGGACGUGGUAG
RNAcentral lists this ribosomal RNA (789 nucleotides) under Triticum aestivum (bread wheat). RNAcentral's name for it is "partial small subunit ribosomal RNA". Lineage: Eukaryota; Viridiplantae; Streptophyta; Magnoliopsida; Poales; Poaceae. The record is from RNAcentral.